AGCGAGUUAACUUCAGUGGUAGAAUAAAGGGUUCAUAUCCCUUUACGCGAUGGUUCGAUUCCAUCACUCGCCU
Molecule: transfer RNA, 73 nt
Filed under: Escherichia phage EcS1
Lineage: Duplodnaviria; Heunggongvirae; Uroviricota; Caudoviricetes; Pantevenvirales; Straboviridae
Description: tRNA-Met
Rfam family: tRNA
About the family: Transfer RNA (tRNA) molecules are approximately 80 nucleotides in length. Their secondary structure includes four short double-helical elements and three loops (D, anti-codon, and T loops).
Source: RNAcentral